GUUGCUCAGCUGUGCUCGUGAACUUCGUUUCCAUGACAACCAAGUCACUCAAACUCAGCUGCAUCUCAUCCAUCGGCAAAAACCUCUCAUUACAUUUUCAAAUUACAUCUUGCCUUCAUCAAACAGCUAUAAAAGGAGGCCUUGGUGCUUUUGUGCCUGGAGGUUUCUGUGAAGUUCGCAGCAUGUGAUGUUUCUGUUUGACCCUGACCUCUCAUUAUAUAAGCACAGAAGGUGUCAUUCAGUCUGAGGUGAAAUGACUGAAGUGCAGGUGUGCCGAGCAGAAGUGAGCGGACGACACUGCAGUGUGUUUCCCGGGACUCAAACUCUCUGGAGGAAAUGCUGCAACUAGAGCAGAAAUACAAGACGAAAUGUGAUCAUUGGUCUGCGUGCUGAUUGGCUGUCGAGACGACGGCCGGUUGCAAAGCCAGUUCUUGCCUGAUUCUCAAUCUACAAACACGCCGCCACAGGGGAGAGCAGAGGGGUACAACAGAAUGCCAAAGUGAGGAAGGCAAAGGAUUUGGAUUGAUGUUUCAUUUCUGGAUAUAUAGUCACAGGGCUAAGCAUGUAGCCGGAGGAAUAACUUCACCUGUGCUGAAAAGUUGUGUUUAUAAAUAUAUUUUCCUGAGUUGAAGGGCCUACAUUGCGUCUCAGACUAACUGAUCUCUUUUCCCG
Long non-coding RNA from Cyprinus carpio carpio, 672 nucleotides. The record is from Ensembl. NCBI's taxonomy places the organism in Eukaryota, Metazoa, Chordata, Actinopteri, Cypriniformes, Cyprinidae.